This 1070-nucleotide long non-coding RNA is filed under the name Ananas comosus (pineapple). Its description in RNAcentral is "long non-coding RNA (ACOM_LNC023773)". Lineage: Eukaryota; Viridiplantae; Streptophyta; Magnoliopsida; Poales; Bromeliaceae. The record is from RNAcentral.
AGUCGAAUUUAAUUUUCUAAAUUUAUUUUCAAACUUCAAAUUUUUAUGUUAACUUAGUUUAUCCCUAGAGCAAGUGGCAAAGGGCUUGGUGGUUGGUACCCGAAACCCAAGUUCGAAUCCUAAUUGAUUCACAUUUCUAGCUAAGUUUAUUUCUAAAUCAAAUAAACGAAGCAGGUAGCGUGCUACCUAUCUCUCUCAAAAAAAUAAAAAAAAUAAAAAAAAAAACUUAGUUUAAUGAACUAGACUAAGCCUGACCUAACUUAACCGAAUCUAUUAGAAACCAAACCAAAGAGAUCGAACUAGAUUUUUCACUACAACAAAAUUAGAUUAUAGGGACACAUGUUUGGGACACUUUUGUGUAAGUAUCCUAUUUAUACCAAAACUUUUAAAAAAAUCUACUAAUGCCUAAAUAUAAAGUCCAAUCCAACCAAAAAUAAAAGGUUACUCUAGCUCACCCCACCCCACCCAGCCUAUUCGGCCCGAUUACAAACAGAAAAGAAAAAGAAAAAAAAAUCGAUUACCAUUUUCCCUUCUCUCUUUACUCAAUUGACUGAAAUCCUAAACGAAGAUCCUUUCCUCUCGUCCUCCUUCGCCACCGCAACCAAUGAGGUAGAGUUUCGGCGGUUGCUAAAUGGUUAAAUAAGUAUUGGUAAAUUAGCAGCACUCUUUUUAGGUUAUAACGAUACUCUUUAACUGUCACUGUAUACCUAGCGACCCCACAUAUAGAAACACAUUUUAAAAGUGUCAGUAAUUUAGCCAGCAACACUUUUUUUGACCUGUACCGACAUUUAAAAGUGUCGUUAUAGACCGUUUUUGUUGUAGUGUUUUUAGGUUUAUUUGUGUGUGAGAGAGAGAGAAAGAUUUUCAUAACUUAAUUUGAUCCAAGUUCCCUUAACUUCAAAUCGAAUGAAUCGAUCUUAAUUUUCUAAAUCUAACUAUUUGUAGAUUGUCGGAUCAUUGGCGCUAACCAUUAAUUCCAAAAGCUCGAGCUGUUAAAAAUACGCAACAAAUUCACUUAAAACAUACAGAUACAGCGAGAAAGAGAGAGAUUUAGACCUUACAUUUUGACA